Molecule: ribosomal RNA, 427 nt
Filed under: uncultured archaeon
Lineage: Archaea
Description: bacterial SSU rRNA
Rfam family: Archaeal small subunit ribosomal RNA
Source: RNAcentral
UACCAGCUCUCCGAGUGGUAGGGAUGAUUAUUGGGCUUAAAGCGUCCGUAGCCGGCUUAGCAAGUUUCCUGUUAAAUUCAGCGACCUAAUCGUUGAGCCGCGGGAAAUACUACUAGGCUAGGAGGCGGGAGAGGUCGACGGUACUUCUGGGGUAGGGGUGAAAUCCUAUAAUCCCGGGAGGACCACCAGUGGCGAAGGCUGUCGACUAGAACGCGCCCGACGGUGAGGGACGAAAGCUGGGGGAGCGAACCGGAUUAGAUACCCGGGUAGUCCCAGCUGUAAACGAUGCGGGCUAGGUGUUGGGGGUGGCUACGUGCCACUUCAGUGCCGCAGGGAAGCCAUUAAGCCCGCCGCCUGGGGAGUACGGCCGCAAGGCUGAAACUUAAGGAUUGGCGGGGAGCACCACAAGGCGUGAAGCUUGCGGUUC